AGCGAACGCUGGCGGCAGGCUUAACACAUGCAAGUCGAGCGGGCACUUUCGGGUGUCAGCGGCGGACGGGUGAGUAACGCGUGGGAACGUGCCCUCUGGUUCGGAAUAACUCAGGGAAACUUGAGCUAAUACCGGAUACGCCCUUUUGGGGAAAGGCUUGCUGCCGGAGGAUCGGUCCGCGUCUGAUUAGCUAGUUGGUGAGGUAACGGCUCACCAAGGCGACGAUCAGUAGCUGGUCUGAGAGGAUGAUCAGCCACACUGGGACUGAGACACGGCCCAGACUCCUACGGGAGGCAGCAGUGGGGAAUAUUGGACAAUGGGCGCAAGCCUGAUCCAGCCAUGCCGCGUGAGUGAUGAAGGCCUUAGGGUUGUAAAGCUCUUUUAUCCGGGACGAUAAUGACGGUACCGGAGGAAUAAGCCCCGGCUAACUUCGUG
RNAcentral lists this ribosomal RNA (435 nucleotides) under uncultured bacterium. RNAcentral describes it as "partial 16S ribosomal RNA". It matches the Rfam family "Bacterial small subunit ribosomal RNA", at positions 29 to 507 of the family's 1533-position model. The record is from RNAcentral.